This 89-nucleotide non-coding RNA is filed under the name uncultured Companilactobacillus sp. Lineage: Bacteria; Bacillati; Bacillota; Bacilli; Lactobacillales; Lactobacillaceae. The record is from RNAcentral.
ACACAGGGGGAGCCGUAGGCUGAGAGUGAACGUAAUGUUCAGACCCUUUAAACCUGUUAUGUUAAUACAUGCGUAGGGAUAGUGUUGUU